GACGAACGCUGGCGGCGUGCUUAACACAUGCAAGUCGAACGGAAAGGCCCUGCUUUUGUGGGGUGCUCGAGUGGCGAACGGGUGAGUAACACGUGAGUAACCUGCCCUUGACUUUGGGAUAACUUCAGGAAACUGGGGCUAAUACCGGAUAGGAGCUCCUGCUGCAUGGUGGGGUUGGUAAGGUUCGGCGGGUGGGGGUGGACUUCGGGGUUUAGCACCUGGUGGUUGGGUAGUGGGUUACCAAGGCGUUGACGGGUAGCCGGCCCGGGAGGGUGACCGGGCACAUGGGGACUGAGAUAAGGCCCAGACUCCGACGGGAGGAAGCAGUGGGGAAGAUUGCACAAUGGGCGGAAGCCUGAGGCAGCAACGCCGCGUGCGGGAUUACGGCCUUCGGGUUGUAAACCGCUUGCGCCUGUGACGAAGCGGGAGUGACGGUAAUGGGUAAAGAAGCACCGGCUAACUACGUG
This 467-nucleotide ribosomal RNA is filed under the name uncultured bacterium. RNAcentral describes it as "partial 16S ribosomal RNA". It matches the Rfam family "Bacterial small subunit ribosomal RNA", at positions 28 to 507 of the family's 1533-position model. The record is from RNAcentral.